CUCGGCGGAGCUUGAGGCGCAUCGAAGAUGGCGACCGGAGGGUAGGGUCGGGCCGGAGACGCGCACCGCAAGGCAACCUCUCGUCCCCUCCCCUCCCCGGUGAAGACGGCGUGGAGUAUCGGGGCGAGCCGCCCGCUCGGGUCGAGUCCGAUCUGGUGGCGGGUUCCUCCAGUUUUCCGCUAAAUCAGGAUUCCGCCGAGGCGCGCAGUGGCUAAAACAUACUAACCCAUACACACGCACACGCAAAUUCGCUCGUCCUUCAUUUGUGUCGGUACCUAAAUAAGCGAUUAACACGCGCGUAACGCAACUCGUUCGCUCGUCAACGAUCUAGUCAGAGGGAUAGAGGAAAAAGAA
Long non-coding RNA from Wasmannia auropunctata (little fire ant), 354 nucleotides. RefSeq lists it as uncharacterized. The transcript has 2 exons. The record is from RefSeq and is a predicted model, not a curated record. NCBI's taxonomy places the organism in Eukaryota, Metazoa, Arthropoda, Insecta, Hymenoptera, Formicidae.